UACGGAGGGUGCAAGCGUUAUUCGGAAUUAUUGGGCGUAAAGGGCGCGUAGGCGGUCUUUUAAGUCAGAUGUGAAAGCCCGGGGCUUAACCCCGGUAGUGCAUUUGAAACUAAGAGACUUGAGUAUGGGAGAGGGAAGUGGAAUUCCUGGUGUAGAGGUGAAAUUCGUAGAUAUCAGGAGGAACACCGGUGGCGAAGGCGACUUCCUGGACCAAUACUGACGCUGAGGCGCGAAGGCGUGGGGAGCAAACAGG
RNAcentral lists this ribosomal RNA (253 nucleotides) under uncultured bacterium. RNAcentral's name for it is "partial 16S ribosomal RNA". It matches the Rfam family "Bacterial small subunit ribosomal RNA", at positions 524 to 776 of the family's 1533-position model. The record is from RNAcentral.